This is a long non-coding RNA of Schistocerca serialis cubense, 3427 nucleotides long. RefSeq lists it as uncharacterized. NCBI's taxonomy places the organism in Eukaryota, Metazoa, Arthropoda, Insecta, Orthoptera, Acrididae. The transcript is spliced from 2 exons. The record is from RefSeq and is a predicted model, not a curated record.
UAUGCCUAUACAAAAGAAAAAUUCGGAGUAGGUAUUAAAAUCCAUGGAGAAGAAAUAAAAACUUUGAGGUUCGCCGAUGACAUUGUAAUUCUGUAAGAGACAGCAAAGGACUUGGAAGAGCAGUUGAACGGAAUGGAUGGUGUCUUGAAGGGAGGAUAUAAGAUGAACAUCAACAAAAGCAAAACGAGGAUAAUGGAAUGUAGUCGAAUUAAGUCGGGUGAUGUUGAGGGUAUUAGAUUAGGAAAUGAGACACUUAAAGUAGUAAAGGAGUUUUGCUAUUUGGGGAGCAAAAUAAUUGAUGAUUGUCGAAGUAGAGAGGAUAUAAAAUGUAGACUGGCAAUGACAAGGAAAGCGUUUCUGAAGAAGAGAAAUUUGUUAACAUCGAGUAUAGAUUUAAGUGUCAGGAAGUCAUUUCUGAAAGUAUUUGUAUGGAGUGUAGCCAUGUAUGGAAGUGAAACAUGGACGGUAAAUAGUUUGGACAAGAAGAGAAUAGAAGCUUUCGAAAUGUGGUGCUACAGAAGAAUGCUGAAGUUUAGAUGGGUAGAUCACAUAACUAAUGAGGAGGUACUGAAUAGGAUUGGGGAGAAGAGGAGUUUGUGGCACAACUUGACCAGAAGAAGGGAUCGGUUGGUAGGACAUGUUCUGAGGCAUCAAGGGAUCACCAAUUUAGUAUUGGAGGGCAGCGUGGAGGGUAAAAAUCGUAGGGGGAGACCAAGAGAUGAAUACACUAAGCAGAUUCAGAAGGAUGUAGGUUGUAGUAGGUACUGGGAAAAGAAGAAGCUUGCACAGGAUAGAGUAGCAUGGAGAGCUGCAUCAAACCAGUCUCAGGACUGAAGACCACAACAACAACAACAACAUGCCUCUGUACGAGCCCUAAUCUCUCUUAUCUUAUCUUUGUAAUCUUUCCGCGAAAUAUAAGUUUGCGGCAGUAAAACUGUACCUCAGUCAGCCUCAAAUGCUGAUUCUCUAAAUUUUCUUAGUAGCGAUUCACAAAAGAACGUCUCCUUUCCUCCAGAGACUCCCACCCGAGUUCCUGAAGCAUUUCCGUAACACUCGCGUGAUGAUCAAACCUACCAGUAACAAAUCUAGCAGCCCGCCUCUGAAUUGCUUCUAUGUCCUCCCUCAAUCCUACCUGAUAAGGAUCCCAAACGCUCGAGCAGUACUCAAGAAUAGGUCAUAUUAGUGUUUUGUGAGCCGUCUCCUUUACAGAUGAACCACAUCUUCCCAAAAUUCUACCAAUGAACCGAAGCCGACUAUCCGCCUUCCACACAACUGCCAUUACAUGCUUGUCCCACUUCAUAUCGCUCUGAAAUGUUACGCCCAAAUAUUUAAUCGAUUUACUGUGUCAAGCGCUACACUACUAAUGGAGUAUUCUAACAUUCUUUUUCCUGUUCAUCUGCAUUAAUUUACAUUUAUCUAUAUUUAGAGUUACCUGCCAUUCUUUACCUUCCUCAGUCCGUGGGUCCACAUGCGUGGACUUCGCGGUUUUAUUUCGUAAAGCUUAUGAACAGUUUCUGUCGACUAAAUACCUCUAGUACACGUUUGUGGAAGCUUCGUGGUUUCAGUCUAUGCCACCAGAUCGCACCACAAUCUGCUUGCAGUGCCGUCUGUGAUGUUUUGAAGAUACGGGUCGGCGAAGUGGCUACACACGGCACACGCUCUGAAGUAAUCAACAAUGAAUACGUACUUCGGAUGCUGGAGGAGAGUGACUUCAGUUCACUUUAAGAUGAUGAGAGUCAACAGUUGUCAGAUGAGGAGGCUGUCCCUGAAUCUACAGUCACUACUGAACAAUCAGACAUCGAAGUAGAAGACCCCACGCCUGGUUCGUCGCAGGACAGUGGACCUAAAUGUAAGUUAAAAUGGAAGUGCUCAAAAAUUGAAAACAAGGAACCAGGUGAAGAUACGAGUAAUUUCGCAGAUAUGACGGAUGGUGUGUUAAGGGAUCCUGCUGAAUACUUUUUCAAAUAUUAUGAUAAGAAUUUUUGGAAUGUUGUUGCAGAACAGACAAAUCUAUAUCAUGUGCAAAGGAAUAGUAAGAAUUUGAACACAAAUAUGAACGAAAUUCUUUCCUUUGUUGGGAUUGAAAUUCUAAUGGGUACGCUCAAGCUACCACAAGCCAAGAUGUACUGGAGUAGGCUACUUGUUUUGCCUCUCAUCAGUGAUACUCUGACUCGGGGCAGAUACUUCAAGUUAUGGAAUCAUUUACAUUUUGUAAAUAAUUUACGUGACCAAGAUAGGAGUGACAAACUUUGGAAAGUGAGGCCGGUGAUUAAUGUUUUCAGGAAUAAGUGUCUCGCUUUGCCACGAUCUAAGUACCUAUUAAUUGACGAGCAGAUGAUUCCAUUCUCUGGCAGAUGUGCAAUGAGAAUUUAUGUGCCAUCGAAACCCAAUCCUCUUGGGUUGAAAAACUUUAUUUUGGCAUCUUCAGAUGGUUUAGUUCUUGACUUCAUAAUAUAUACUGGCAAAGGAACAGUGUCUGACACUGAAUUAUUAGAAAUAGGUUUAGGUGCAAGUGUAAUUAAGCUGUUGACUGUGACAGUUCCAAACAAUGGACAGCAUGUGAUAUAUAGUGACAGAUUUUUGCAGGCAUUAAGUCAGUUGAGCUUCUCUUAAGCAGCAACAUAUAUCGAACAGGUACUGUAAUGAAAUACAGAAUUUCUGAUGUGGCUUCAAAAUUCAAAACUGAUUGUGAUCUAAACAGAGGUGAAUGGGAUGAAUAUGUGAGGGAAGACAAAAAGGUGUGUGCACUUAAAUGGAAAGAUAACACGGCUGUCAUUUUGAUAUCAUCUUGUGUUGUGAGUGAGCCGCAAGUUACUUGUAAGCGAUGGUCAAAGGCGUAGAACAGAAGUAUUCAGGUACCACAACCAGCUAUUGUGAAGAGUUACAAUUGUAACAUGGGUGGUAUCGACCUAUGUGACAGAUUCAUGGCUACUACAGGUCAAAUACCAGAACAAGAAAAUGGACAAUCAGACUGUUUAACCAUUUUAUUGAUUUAGCUAUUAUUAAUUGCUGGAUUAUGUACAAAAGAACCUGUGCAAAAGAAGAAGUACUAAAGUGUAACAGACUGUCCCUAAUAAACUUCAGGCUGAAUGUGGCCAAUGUACUGAUAAAGGGUUCUCAUGUCAGAGGGGCCUCACAACUCUCCAAAGAAAGAACCUUCGAUGAACAGGAGAUCACUGACAGCUCAGGAGAAGAUGAAGAUAAUAAACCCAAAAGAAGAAAGGUUGUUUCCAUGCCAAGGAAGCCAACUCGAUAUGACCAAAUUGAUCAUCUUCCCCAAUAUGUAGAGGCAAAGAAUGCUUCUAAAUGUCGUUUUGAAGAUUGCAAAUCCCGCACAAGAACCUUGUGAAAGAAGUGCAAUGUUUAUUUAUGUGUGACUAAAAACAAUUGUUUUGUAAAACUCCGUCAACAAAAACUUUAAUCUGUU